CCCUCGCGGACGUAUUUCUUACAGCUCUGAGCAAAAAUUCAAAAUGAAUCAAAACUUUCAACAACGGAUCUCUUGGUUCUGGCAUCGAUGAAGAACGCAGCGAAAUGCGAUAAGUAAUGUGAAUUGCAGAAUUCAGUGAAUCAUCGAAUCUUUGAACGCACAUUGCGCCCGCCAGUAUUCUGGCGGGCAUGCCUGUCCGAGCGUCAUUUCAACCCUCGAACCCCUCCGGGGGAUCGGCGUUGGGGAUCGGGACCCCUCACCGGGUGCCGGCCCUGAAAUACAGUGGCGGUCUCGCCGCAGCCUCUCCUGCGCAGUAGUUUGCACAACUCGCACCGGGAGCGCGGCGCGUCCACGUCCGUAAAACACCCAACUUCUGAAAUGUUGACCUCGGAUCAGGUAGGAAUACCCGCUGAACUUAAGCAUAUCAAUAAGCGGAGGAA
RNAcentral lists this ribosomal RNA (440 nucleotides) under Trichoderma hamatum. RNAcentral's name for it is "eukaryotic LSU rRNA". The stretch from base 53 to 206 matches the Rfam family "5.8S ribosomal RNA". The record is from RNAcentral. Lineage: Eukaryota; Fungi; Ascomycota; Sordariomycetes; Hypocreales; Hypocreaceae.